This 252-nucleotide ribosomal RNA is filed under the name uncultured bacterium. Its description in RNAcentral is "partial 16S ribosomal RNA". It matches the Rfam family "Bacterial small subunit ribosomal RNA", at positions 524 to 776 of the family's 1533-position model. The record is from RNAcentral.
UACAGAGGGUGCGAGCGUUGUCCGGAAUCACUGGGCGUAAAGGGCGCGUAGGUGGCGCCCCAAGUCCGUGGUGAAAGCUCGAUGCUCAACAUCGAGUCGGCCACGGAACUGGGGGGCUCGAGCACUGUAGAGGCAGAUGGAAUUCCACGUGUAGCAGUGAAAUGCGUAGAGAUGUGGAGGAAUACCAAUGGCGAAGGCAGCCCCCUGGGUUAACACUGACGCUCAUGCACGAAAGCGUGGGGAGCAAACAGG